Molecule: long non-coding RNA, 638 nt
Organism: Zea mays
Lineage: Eukaryota; Viridiplantae; Streptophyta; Magnoliopsida; Poales; Poaceae
Exons: 3
Source: RefSeq, a predicted model, not a curated record
CUGUUUUAAACUAUAUUAUGUAAACAGUGCAAGCGAUGAGUGAAGGGUGACUAAUAGGCUUCUUUAAUCAGCACUGCAGUAUCUUUUGUUGAAUUAACCUAUACUCACUUCAUUUUAUUUAUAUAAUACAGUCCAUUUAGCAAAUUUUGUUUGAUGUGCAGUGACAUGACCUUGACAGUCAAGAUGCUCUUUCAGGAGAUGGUCCCAGUUACUUUACAUGGUUCUGUUGGACACAAUGAAGCCAUCCAGAUAUGCUAUUAAAAAUCCUGCUAGUCAUUAUGGCUUUAAACUGUACCAUGUCUGUUCUAUUUUCAGCUAGGCAGAGCACGUUCUAUUUACAGCAGGCCAGCAGACACCAGGCAGUAAGGUGAUGUAUGAGUCAAUUAUCAGGAUGGAAAUGUUUUUUGGCAGCUUUCUCAGUGAAUCAGUAUCACCGCAGAACCUUUUUGGACACCCAGAUGUUGAGAGAUGCCCAUUCCUGAGGAAUAUCAAUGGAGCUACAACCUUUUCCCUCUCUUCUGCUUUGCCAGUAGCUGCUCAAGGAGGCAAGGGUCCAAUUUUUGAGGAAGGGUCAGGCUUUGAGUCAGCAUUCAAGCUUUUCCAUGGCCGAGAUGGAAUAGUUCCCCUUUCAGAAAGAU